Long non-coding RNA from Oncorhynchus kisutch (coho salmon), 2085 nucleotides. RefSeq lists it as uncharacterized. The transcript is spliced from 4 exons. Lineage: Eukaryota; Metazoa; Chordata; Actinopteri; Salmoniformes; Salmonidae. The record is from RefSeq and is a predicted model, not a curated record.
UAAUGUCAUGUUGCAGAGGACGAGGCUGAACAUUCAGAAUCAUUCAUCUGUAAUUAUUUUUAGGUUCUAAAGCUACCUGUCUUCAACAAAAUGUGUUUUGUAUCAUUAUUGCAGGCAAUUCCAUUUCUAAAACAAACUAACUAACUUGUCUUUCUGAGAAAAAUAUUUAUCUUCGACCUUUUGUUUUAAGUUUUUAACAGCACAAUGUUUAACUACAAAAACCCUGCAUUUGUGGUUGAGAGUUUUAGAAUCUCUAAAAUGUAGAAGGGUUUUCAUAUUUCAUUUAUGUUUGGGUGAGUCACGUUUAAUAAUAUGCCAGAGCAGUGACGGUAAACUGAUAAGCGCAGUAAAGGAAAGGAUGGAUGGAAGGAAGGAACGAAGGAGAGAAGAAAAAGCGAGUUCACACUACUCGGACUGAUCAGUUUACCUUUAAUGCUCUAACUGGGAUGUCAGCGCCUGUUCAGAAUCCAGCAAAGCACCUGCUGUGGCACGAAAAACUCCUCUUCAUCCACCCACGAUGGUGUUGGUUAAUGAAGCGCUGAAGGAGUUGGACUCUCGAAUCGUCUCAUCUCAGGCCAUCCGUGGCGACAUAACAGAGAAAUAUCCAUCUGUGGACCUGAUGAGGUUGAAGUACAUGACACGCAAGAUCCUGAAAAUAGGAAUCGAGAGCUGGGUAUUGGUGAGGACAUCAACUCGAUAGCAAACGGCGGACAGGGGAGGUUUCGGCUGGCAGUCAGGUGUAGGGUCAAGGAGCCAAAGGCCACUGAGAACACUGAUCCCAAUGUGGAGAAGGCUCCAAAGGCUGCCAAGGUUGGAGCCAAGAAGACUAAGGACAAGGAAGCCGGAUGAAAACUCAGGAAGUCCGCAAAAGCAUCUGCUUCCAAGGUGGCCCCUGCUAAGAAGCCCAAGUCAAAGAGGACAAAGGGGCAGAGAGGACAGCUGAGGAUCAACCCAAAGCACAGAAGACUACCAAGGGUGAAGGGGCAGCCAAGAAGGGUGCAAAGGCCAAAGCUUUCCAGAAGCCUGCAGAGGGUGAUGAAGGGGACACUGCUGCUCCUGAAGCUAUAACCACAGGGAAAUGAGGCAAGAGGGCAGCAGCAGAGUGACUGCACUCCUUUUAUCCACAUUGUAUGUUUUUAAAUAAAGCAGUUUUUUGUACUACUUGUUUGUGGCAUUUAAGUGUAGACCGAGCUGCUGUAAAAUGUCAUCUCCACUUUUCCUGUAGAGAAGUGUUGGUGGUAGCUAGGGGUUUGUAAAGAUGUUUAAUGAUUCACUGAUGCAAGUUUAAAUAAUAUAUAUAUAUAUACACAGUAUGCUAAGUUCUUGUUUCUUGCACCUGCUUAAUCAGUACCCUCUUCUGCCAGAUGAAUUGUAUCACUAGUACAGUGACUACCCGGUUCCUGGAAAAUAUUGAUGGUUGAUGGUUGUUUUCUACACGGUCAGGACUUUAUUGUUCAUCCAUCAUAGGUUGAUGACCAUGGCACGAUUCGUUGGGGAAAUCUGGUACAGUGAGUGUGCAGAUGGUUGAGAUCCAUCUGAGCCUGGAACACACUGGACAUGAUAUCUUGGUACCAGUCUCCUGAGGGACGACCCUGAUACUGGUCUUUCACUGUUCUCUCCACCAAGGAAUUUUUGAUGCUGCUGGUUUGUGGUAGCAGUCUUUCUAUACAGUUAGAACUAACCAUCUCAAAACAAACAUUUCCCAUAACUAUGAAGCUAUGGGAAGUUAUUCAAAACUUUUCUGUUAUGGGUCAGUGCCCACAAUUGUGCAAUGCAACAUGUUGUACCACUUCAGUUUGUCCACAAGGGGUGCAAUAACUAAUUGGGUCUUCAGUUUGGUAUUCAAAGGUACCCAACCCAGAGCAUUGCUGUCCGCUGGUGCUCCUUGUUCUUUAUUCCCUGGAAGUUUAACCAGCUUUUACUCAACCACCCCUAAGGAGAAGAAUAAAUCAUUAAUGCUGUGGACCUCAAGGCCUGGAUUUGAAAAAGGAUACACAGGAAGAGAGCAUAGGCAACGCCAGUGAAGCUGUCACAUAUCUUUUAUUUUUUUAUUUAACCUUUAUUUAACCAGGUAAGGUAGUUGAG